Molecule: non-coding RNA, 24 nt
Filed under: Arabidopsis thaliana (thale cress)
Lineage: Eukaryota; Viridiplantae; Streptophyta; Magnoliopsida; Brassicales; Brassicaceae
Source: RNAcentral
CAGUUUGUUCUACGGAAGUGGCUG